GCCCUCUGUGGCCGGGCUGUUUAGCAGCUGGUCUCACUGCUUAGGUUCCUAAAGCCUAGCUGUUACAGCGUCCUUGCUACAGAAAGAGAUCGUUGUCUGACCAGAGACAAAACUUACUUCUGUCUGGUAGCAGAGUACCUACAUUUGGCUUUCCAGAUCUCACCUCAGUUCCAGAUUCCUCUACAUUAAAAUCUUCGCCUGGGUUACAUCUUCUCUCAGGAUUGAAUAUCAACACUAUUGAAGACACCUCAUGUGACAUCACAAACAGCUUUCUUGGACUCUCCAGGGAGGUGGAGCAAGAUGGCUGAAUAGAAGCCUCCAGCAAUUGUCCCCCACUCACAGGAACACCAAAUUGAACAACUAUCCACACACAAAAAAAAGCACCUUCAUACAAAGAAAAAUCAGGCCUGGAACAGAUCAGCCUCCCUGCAGGAAUCAACUGAGAAAGAAUUAAUGACACUUUCGAAAGCUUUAAAUUCCAAUGAGAAAUUGAAGCCCUGGGAAUAUCUGCCUCAACAUUUUAUAGGGUGUAUGCCUGCAGUCAGUGAGAAGCACGAGGAUAUUCCGUUCCUUAUAUGUUCUGAGACAGCUGAUAACAGAAUGAAGGGGGAUUUUCUUAAAGCAUCCAUGACCCUAACAAGGAAACUGGAAGUUGCAUUCUAUUGAUCCAAGGCUAAGAAGGAAUUAAGUUGCCAUCAGAUCAAAUUCCGGCAAAGCGUCUGGAAGAGACCUGGUUGAAGAUAAUAUUGAUGAGUCUUAAAAAAAAAUGCCAGCAUUUCUACUCAUGUUUUAACAAAAAUUGGAGAGUCUAGAUUCACCCAU
Long non-coding RNA from Homo sapiens (human), 822 nucleotides. RefSeq lists it as uncharacterized. The transcript is spliced from 5 exons. NCBI's taxonomy places the organism in Eukaryota, Metazoa, Chordata, Mammalia, Primates, Hominidae. The record is from RefSeq and is a predicted model, not a curated record.